GACGAACGCUGGCGGCGUGCUUAACACAUGCAAGUCGAACGGAAAGGCCCUGCUUUUGUGGGGUGCUCGAGUGGCGAACGGGUGAGUAACACGUGAGUAACCUGCCCUUGACUUUGGGAUAACUUCAGGGAACUGGGGCUAAUACCGGAUAGGAGCUCCUGCUGCAUGGUGGGGGUUGGAAAGUUUCGGCGGUUGGGGAUGGACUCGCGGCUUAUCAGCUUGUUGGUGGGGUAGUGGCUUACCAAGGCUUGGACGGGUAGCCGGCCUGAGAGGGUGACCGGCCACAUUGGGACUGAGAUACGGCACAGACUCCUACGGGAGGCAGCAGUGGGGAAUAUUGCACAAUGGGCGGAAGCCUGAUGCAGCAACGCCGCGUGCGGGAUGACGGCCUUCGGGUUGUAAACCGCUUUCGCCUGUGACGAAGCGUGAGUGACGGUAAUGGGUAAAGAAGCACCGGCUAACUACGUG
This 468-nucleotide ribosomal RNA is filed under the name uncultured bacterium. Its description in RNAcentral is "partial 16S ribosomal RNA". It matches the Rfam family "Bacterial small subunit ribosomal RNA", at positions 28 to 507 of the family's 1533-position model. The record is from RNAcentral.